RNAcentral lists this ribosomal RNA (478 nucleotides) under uncultured bacterium. RNAcentral's name for it is "partial 16S ribosomal RNA". It matches the Rfam family "Bacterial small subunit ribosomal RNA", at positions 28 to 523 of the family's 1533-position model. The record is from RNAcentral.
GACGAACGCUGGCGGCGUGCUUAACACAUGCAAGUCGAACGGUAAGGCCCUUCGGGGUACACGAGUGGCGAACGGGUGAGUAACACGUGGGUGAUCUGCCCUGCACUUCGGGAUAAGCCUGGGAAACUGGGUCUAAUACCGGAUAGGACCACUGCCUGCAUGGGUGGUGGUGGAAAGCUUUUGCGGUGUGGGAUGGGCCCGCGGCCUAUCAGCUUGUUGGUGGGGUGAUGGCCUACCACGGCGACGACGGGUAGCCGGCCUGAGAGGGUGACCGGCCACACUGGGACUGAGAUACGGCCCAGACUCCUACGGGAGGCAGCAGUGGGGAAUAUUGCACAAUGGGCGCAAGCCUGAUGCAGCGACGCCGCGUGAGGGAUGACGGCCUUUGGGUUGUAAACCUCUUUCAGCACCGACGAAGCGCAAGUGACGGUAGGUGCAGAAGAAGGACCGGCCAACUACGUGCCAGCCGCCGCAGUAA